AGCGAACGCUGGCGGCAGGCUUAACACAUGCAAGUCGAACGGGCAUCUUCGGAUGUCAGUGGCAGACGGGUGGGUAACACGUGGGAACGUACCCUUCGGUUCGGAAUAACUCAGGGAAACUUGAGCUCAUACCGGAUACGCCCUUUUGGGGAAAGGUUUACUGCCGGAGGAUCGGCCCGCGUCUCAUUAGCUUGUCGGUUGGGUAACGGCCUACCAAGGCGACGAUCAGUAGCUGGUCUGAGAGGAUGAUCAGCCACACUGGGACUGAGACACGGCCCAGACUCCUACGGGAGGGAGCAGUGGGGAAUAUUGGACAAUGGGCGCAAGCCUGAUCCAGCCAGGCCGGGUGAGUGAUGAAGGCCUUAGGGUUGAAAAGCUCUUUUGUCCGGGACGAUAAUGACGGUACCGGAAGAAUAAGCCCCGGCUAACUUCGUG
Molecule: ribosomal RNA, 435 nt
Filed under: uncultured bacterium
Lineage: Bacteria
Description: partial 16S ribosomal RNA
Rfam family: Bacterial small subunit ribosomal RNA
Source: RNAcentral